This 247-nucleotide long non-coding RNA is filed under the name Elaeis guineensis (African oil palm). RNAcentral describes it as "long non-coding RNA (EGUI_LNC045795)". Lineage: Eukaryota; Viridiplantae; Streptophyta; Magnoliopsida; Arecales; Arecaceae. The record is from RNAcentral.
GGUCCAGACCUAUUCCCUCAGUAGGUAAAUCAGGCUUAGCGCUCAUACUACCAAGGCAAAGAGCUUAUAAAGGCCAAUAUGAGGAUCGAACCAGACCCUUCUCUUGUUUGCAGUGGCAAGAGUUAUAUGUGUGUUAAUAAAUGGAGUUACGUUAGAUGCACAAAUCAAAUCUAAUAUCAAUCAGCCCAUGCUUGAUUUGUUUAUUAAAUAAAUUAAAAAUUAAAAAAUAAAUUUAAUCUUUUGAUAA